UACGGAGGGUGCAAGCGUUAUCCGGAUUUACUGGGUUUAAAGGGUGCGUAGGUGGGUAGGAAAGUCAGUGGUGAAAUCUUCGGGCUUAACCCGGAAACUGCCAUUGAUACUAUUUAUCUUGAAUACUUUGGAGGUAAGCGGAAUAUGUCAUGUAGCGGUGAAAUGCUUAGAUAUGACAUAGAACACCAAUUGCGAAGGCAGCUCACUACACAGUUAUUGACACUGAGGCACGAAAGCGUGGGGAUCAAACAGG
RNAcentral lists this ribosomal RNA (253 nucleotides) under uncultured bacterium. RNAcentral describes it as "partial 16S ribosomal RNA". It matches the Rfam family "Bacterial small subunit ribosomal RNA", at positions 524 to 776 of the family's 1533-position model. The record is from RNAcentral.